Molecule: ribosomal RNA, 1312 nt
Filed under: metagenome
Description: bacterial LSU rRNA
Rfam family: Bacterial large subunit ribosomal RNA
Source: RNAcentral
GGAUUGGGAGGGUUCUACGGAACCCGUUUGGUGAAUCUAGUGCCGAGAAAAGCCUUCUAUGUGUUGAAUUUCUAGUACCCGUACCCCAAACCGACACAGGUGGGUGGGUAGAGCAUACCUAGGGGCGCGUGAUAACUCUCUCCAAGGAACUCGGCAAAAUGGCCCUGUAACUUCGGGAUAAGGGGUGCCUGCGUGAGCAGGCCGCAGUGAAAUGGCUCUGGCGACUGUUUACCAAAAACACAGGUCUCUGCUAAGUCGUAAGACGAUGUAUAGGGGCUGACUCCUGCCCAGUGCCGGAAGGUUAAGGAAGUUGGUUAGCGCAAGCGAAGCUGGCGACCGAAGCCCCGGUGAACGGCGGCCGUAACGAUAACGGUCCUAAGGUAGCGAAAUUCCUUGUCGGGUAAGUUCCGACCCGCACGAAAGGAGUAACGAUCAGAGCGCUGUCUCGGAGAGAGACACGGCGAAAUAGGAUUGUCCGUGAAGAUACGGACUACCUGCACCCGGACAGAAAGACCCUAUGAAGCUUUACUGUAACUUGGAAUUGUGUUCGGACUUUGUCUGCGCAGAAUAGGUGGGAGGCUAUGAAACGUUCCUCGCGGGGAACUGGAGCCAUCGUUGAGAUACCACUCUGGCAGAGUCUGGAUUCUAACCUACGGGGACAGUUCCAGGUGGGCAGUUUGACUGGGGCGGUCGCCUCCUAAAAUGUAACGGAGGCGCGCAAAGGUUCCCUCAGGCUGGUUGGAAAUCAGCCAUAGAGUGUAAAAGCAUAAGGGAGCUUGACUGUGAGACCUACAAGUCGAGCAGGGACGAAAGUCGGCUUUAGUGAUCCGACGGCACUGAGUGGAAGGGCCGUCGCUCAACGGAUAAAGUUACUCUAAGGAUAACAGGCUGAUCUCCCCCAAGAGUUCACAUCGACGGGGAGGUUUGGCACCUCGAUGUCGGCUCGUCGCAACCUGGGGCGGUAGUACGUCCCAAGGGUUGGGCUGUUCGCCCAUUAAAGCGGCACGUGAGCUGGGUUCAGAACGUCGUGAGACAGUUCGGUCCAUAUCCGGUGUAGGCGUAGGAGCAUUGAAAGGAUCUCUCCUUAGUACGAGAGGACCGGGAGGGACGUACCUCUGGUGUACCUGUUAUCUUGCCAACGGUAAACGCAGGGUGGCCAUGUACGGAGUGGAUAACCGCUGAAAGCAUCUAAGUUGGAAGCCCACCUUAAGAUGAGUGCUCCCUUGAGGCCACGGGAAGACGACCCGUUUGAUAGGCGCUAGGUGGAAGUGCAGUAAUGCAUGCAGCCGAGGCGUACUAAUAGGCCGAUGGC